RNAcentral lists this ribosomal RNA (519 nucleotides) under Triticum aestivum (bread wheat). RNAcentral describes it as "partial small subunit ribosomal RNA". Lineage: Eukaryota; Viridiplantae; Streptophyta; Magnoliopsida; Poales; Poaceae. The record is from RNAcentral.
AUGGACAUCGAUACGCUCUGUCCAUGUUGUCGACGACUUGAUGAAGAUGGUGGCCAUGUUUUUCUCAAAUGCAAGUUUGCAAGGGCCUGCUGGCGUGCGGCAAUCCUAGAAGAGCAGCGUCUCAAACUUGUAGCAUGUUCCUCAGCUCAAGAAGUAAUGGACUGCAUCUUCCAGUUUGAGGACCAAUUGGCUAUGCAAGCGAUUCAAUUUGCCCGAGAUGCUGGAAUGAGCCGGGUCAUCUUUGAAACUGAUGCUACAAAUUUGAAGGAUGCCCUGUGUAGCAAUGCAUACGAUCUCUCACAGCACGGUAGUAUCUUUAGGAAGGCCAAGUAUAUGCUGUAUACUAGUUUUAUCGAGUACAAAGCUGUAUCUUGUGUCCGCAAAUGUAAUAGUGUUGCUCAUAAAUUAGCGGGUCAGGGUGCGUCUAUGGAACCUGGUGCUCAUAUGUUGUGGCAUGGUACGGUUCCAGACUUUGUAAUCUCUGAUGUAGCCAGCGAGUAUGUUGUGCUAGGUGGUUAA